GAUGAACGCUGGCGGCGUGCCUAAUACAUGCAAGUCGAGCGAACGGACGAGAAGCUUGCUUCUCUGAUGUUAGCGGCGGACGGGUGAGUAACACGUGGAUAACCUACCUAUAAGACUGGGAUAACUUCGGGAAACCGGAGCUAAUACCGGAUAAUAUUUUGAACCGCAUGGUUCAAAAGUGAAAGACGGUCUUGCUGUCACUUAUAGAUGGAUCCGCGCUGCAUUAGCUAGUUGGUAAGGUAACGGCUUACCAAGGCAACGAUGCAUAGCCGACCUGAGAGGGUGAUCGGCCACACUGGAACUGAGACACGGUCCAGACUCCUACGGGAGGCAGCAGUAGGGAAUCUUCCGCAAUGGGCGAAAGCCUGACGGAGCAACGCCGCGUGAGUGAUGAAGGUCUUCGGAUCGUAAAACUCUGUUAUUAGGGAAGAACAUAUGUGUAAGUAACUGUGCACAUCUUGACGGUACCUAAUCAGAAAGCCACGGCUAACUACGUGCCAGCAGCCGCGGUAAUACGUAGGUGGCAAGCGUUAUCCGGAAUUAUUGGGCGUAAAGCGCGCGUAGGCGGUUUUUUAAGUCUGAUGUGAAAGCCCACGGCUCAACCGUGGAGGGUCAUUGGAAACUGGAAAACUUGAGUGCAGAAGAGGAAAGUGGAAUUCCAUGUGUAGCGGUGAAAUGCGCAGAGAUAUGGAGGAACACCAGUGGCGAAGGCGACUUUCUGGUCUGUAACUGACGCCGAUGUGCGAAAGCGUGGGGAUCAAACAGGAUUAGAUACCCUGGUAGUCCACGCCGUAAACGAUGAGUGCUAAGUGUUAGGGGGUUUCCGCCCCUUAGUGCUGCAGCUAACGCAUUAAGCACUCCGCCUGGGGAGUACGACCGCAAGGUUGAAACUCAAAGGAAUUGACGGGGACCCGCACAAGCGGUGGAGCAUGUGGUUUAAUUCGAAGCAACGCGAAGAACCUUACCAAAUCUUGACAUCCUUUGACAACUCUAGAGAUAGAGCCUUCCCCUUCGGGGGACAAAGUGACAGGUGGUGCAUGGUUGUCGUCAGCUCGUGUCGUGAGAUGUUGGGUUAAGUCCCGCAACGAGCGCAACCCUUAAGCUUAGUUGCCAUCAUUAAGUUGGGCACUCUAAGUUGACUGCCGGUGACAAACCGGAGGAAGGUGGGGAUGACGUCAAAUCAUCAUGCCCCUUAUGAUUUGGGCUACACACGUGCUACAAUGGACAAUACAAAGGGCAGCGAAACCGCGAGGUCAAGCAAAUCCCAUAAAGUUGUUCUCAGUUCGGAUUGUAGUCUGCAACUCGACUACAUGAAGCUGGAAUCGCUAGUAAUCGUAGAUCAGCAUGCUACGGUGGAUACGUUCCCGGGUCU
This 1372-nucleotide ribosomal RNA is filed under the name uncultured bacterium. Its description in RNAcentral is "bacterial SSU rRNA". It matches the Rfam family "Bacterial small subunit ribosomal RNA", at positions 28 to 1381 of the family's 1533-position model. The record is from RNAcentral.